UCAGUCGACUCCUACGGGGAGGCAGCAGUGGGGAAUAUUGCACAAUGGGGGGAAACCCUGAUGCAGCCAUGCCGCGUGUGUGAAGAAGGCCUUCGGGUUGUAAAGCACUUUCAGUAGGGAGGAAGGUAGUGUAGUUAACACCUGCAUUAUUUGACGUUACCUACAGAAGAAGCACCGGCUAACUCCGUGCCAGCAGCCGCGGUAAUACGGAGGGUGCGAGCGUUAAUCGGAAUUACUGGGCGUAAAGCGCAUGCAGGCGGCCUGUUAAGUCAGAUGUGAAAGCCCGGGGCUUAACCUCGGAAUUGCAUUUGAAACUGGCAGGCUAGAGUCUUGUAGAGGGGGGUAGGAAUUUCAGGUGUAGCGGUGAAAUGCGUAGAGAUCUGAAGGAAUACCAGUGGCGAAGGCGGCCCCCCUGGACAAAGACUGACGCUCAGAUGCGAAAGCGUGGGGAGCAAACAGGAUUAGAUACCCUGGUAG
Molecule: ribosomal RNA, 477 nt
Filed under: uncultured bacterium
Lineage: Bacteria
Description: bacterial SSU rRNA
Rfam family: Bacterial small subunit ribosomal RNA
Source: RNAcentral